GUGGGGAAUAUUGCACAAUGGGCGCAAGCCUGAUGCAGCCAUGCCGCGUGUGUGAAGAAGGCCUUCGGGUUGUAAAGCACUUUCAGCGGGGAGGAAGGCGAUAAGGUUAAUAACCUUGUCGAUUGACGUUACCCGCAGAAGAAGCACCGGCUAACUCCGUGCCAGCAGCCGCGGUAAUACGGAGGGUGCAAGCGUUAAUCGGAAUUACUGGGCGUAAAGCGCACGCAGACGGUCUGUCAAGUCGGAUGUGAAAUCCCCGGGCUCAACCUGGGAACUGCAUUCGAAACUGGUAGGCUAGAGUCUUGUAGAGGGGGGUAGAAUUCCAGGUGUAGCGGUGAAAUGCGUAGAGAUCUGGAGGAAUACCGGUGGCGAAGGCGGCCCCCUGGACAAAGACUGACGCUCAGGUGCGAAAGCGUGGGGAGCAAACAGGAUUAGAUACCCUAGUAGUCC
Molecule: ribosomal RNA, 450 nt
Filed under: uncultured bacterium
Lineage: Bacteria
Description: partial 16S ribosomal RNA
Rfam family: Bacterial small subunit ribosomal RNA
Source: RNAcentral